This 446-nucleotide ribosomal RNA is filed under the name uncultured bacterium. RNAcentral's name for it is "bacterial SSU rRNA". It matches the Rfam family "Bacterial small subunit ribosomal RNA", at positions 330 to 792 of the family's 1533-position model. The record is from RNAcentral.
ACCAGACUCCUACGGGAGGCAGCAGUGGGGAAUAUUGGGCAAUGGGCGCAAGCCUGACCCAGCAACGCCGCGUGAAGGAUGAAGGUUUUCGGAUUGUAAACUUCUGUCGCGAGGGACGAAGAAUGACGGUACCUCGUAAGAAAGCCCCGGCUAACUACGUGCCAGCAGCCGCGGUAAUACGUAGGGGGCAAGCGUUAUCCGGAUUCACUGGGUGUAAAGGGAGCGUAGACGGCGACGCAAGUCUGGAGUGAAAGCCCGGGGCCCAACCCCGGGACUGCUCUGGAAACUGCGGCGCUGGAGUACGGGAGGGGCAGGCGGAAUUCCUGGUGUAGCGGUGAAAUGCGUAGAUAUCAGGAGGAACACCGGCGGCGAAGGCGGCCUGCUGGACCGUGACUGACGUUGAGGCUCGAGAGCGUGGGGAGCAAACAGGAUUAGAUACCCGUGUA